CUCCUACGGGAGGCAGCAGUGAGGAAUAUUGGACAAUGGGGGCAACCCUGAUCCAGCAAUGCCAUGUGUGUGAAGAAGGCCUUAGGGUUGUAAAGCACUUUAGUUGGGGAAGAAAGCUUUGAGGUUAAUAGCCUUGAGGAAAAGGACGUUACCCAAAGAAUAAGCACCGGCUAACUCCGUGCCAGCAGCCGCGGUAAUACGGGGGGUGCAAGCGUUAAUCGGAAUUACUGGGCGUAAAGGGUCUGUAGGUGGUUUGUUAAGUCAGAUGUGAAAGCCUAGGGCUCAACCUUGGAACUGCAUUUGAUACUGGUAAACUAGAGUACGGUAGAGGAAUGGGGAAUUUCUGGUGUAGCGGUGAAAUGCGUAGAGAUCAGAAGGAACACCAAUGGCGAAGGCAACAUUCUGGACCGAUACUGACACUGAGGGACGAAAGCGUGGGGAUCAAACAGGAUUAGAUACCCUGGUAGUCCACGCUGUAAACGAUGAGUACUAGCUGUUGGAGUCGGUGUAAAGGCUCUAGUGGCGUAGCUAACGCGAUAAGUACUCCGCCUGGGGACUACGGCCGCAAGGCUAAAACUCAAAGGAAUUGACGGGGACCC
RNAcentral lists this ribosomal RNA (599 nucleotides) under Francisella-like endosymbiont of Dermacentor albipictus. RNAcentral's name for it is "bacterial SSU rRNA". It matches the Rfam family "Bacterial small subunit ribosomal RNA", at positions 336 to 922 of the family's 1533-position model. The record is from RNAcentral. Lineage: Bacteria; Pseudomonadati; Pseudomonadota; Gammaproteobacteria; Thiotrichales; Francisellaceae.